This 328-nucleotide long non-coding RNA is filed under the name Lathyrus oleraceus (garden pea). RNAcentral describes it as "Pisum sativum (pea) long non-coding RNA (PSAT_LNC036155)". The record is from RNAcentral. Lineage: Eukaryota; Viridiplantae; Streptophyta; Magnoliopsida; Fabales; Fabaceae.
AAUCCAUGGACGCCCCAAUAGACAACUGUAGGCGGGCUGGAUGUCCAUAACAUAGAAGAUGAUAUCGAAUAUCUCAGGACCUAUCUUCACAGGCAAGGUAACUUCCCCACACACAGAACGUUUGGAACCGUCGAAAGCACGAACGAUCAGGUCGCUGGGGUUAAGCACACACCCUUCCGCAUCAAUCUUCUUCAGAAUCUGCUUAGGCAGCACAUUCAGCGACGACCCGGUGUCUACCAAUACGUGAGACAACACUGCCCCCUUGCACUCCAUGGUAAUGUGCAAGGCUUUGUUAUGGUUUCGCCCUUCAGGUGGUAAGUCCAAGUUG